Molecule: non-coding RNA, 28 nt
Filed under: Bombyx mori (domestic silkworm)
Lineage: Eukaryota; Metazoa; Arthropoda; Insecta; Lepidoptera; Bombycidae
Source: RNAcentral
UAAGCAGUGGUCCUCCGGUGAUCGAAAC